This 250-nucleotide ribosomal RNA is filed under the name uncultured bacterium. RNAcentral's name for it is "partial 16S ribosomal RNA". It matches the Rfam family "Bacterial small subunit ribosomal RNA", at positions 524 to 773 of the family's 1533-position model. The record is from RNAcentral.
UACGUAGGGGGCUAGCGUUAUCCGGAUUUAUUGGGUUUAAAGGGUGCGUAGGCGGAAUAAUAAGUCAGUUGUGAAAGUUUGCGGCUCAACCGUAAAAUUGCAGUUGAUACUGUUAUUCUUGAGUGUACAUAAGGUAGGCGGAAUUCGUGGUGUAGCGGUGAAAUGCUUAGAUAUCACGAAGAACUCCAAUUGCGAAGGCAGCUUACCGGGGUACAACUGACGCUGAGGCAUGAAAGCGUGGGUAGCAAAC